Molecule: ribosomal RNA, 446 nt
Filed under: uncultured bacterium
Lineage: Bacteria
Description: partial 16S ribosomal RNA
Rfam family: Bacterial small subunit ribosomal RNA
Source: RNAcentral
CCUACGGGAGGCAGCAGUCGAGAAUCAUUCACAAUGGGGGAAACCCUGAUGGUGCGACGCCGCGUGGGGGAAUGAAGGUCUUCGGAUUGUAAACCCCUGUCAUGUGGGAGCAAAUUAAAAAGAUAGUACCACAAGAGGAAGAGACGGCUAACUCUGUGCCAGCAGCCGCGGUAAUACAGAGGUCUCAAGCGUUGUUCGGAAUCACUGGGCGUAAGGCGUGCGUAGGCUGUUUCGUAAGUCGUGUGUGAAAGGCGCGGGCUCAACCCGCGGACGGCACAUGAUACUGCGAGACUAGAGUAAUGGAGGGGGAACCGGAAUUCUCGGUGUAGCAGUGAAAUGCGUAGAUAUCGAGAGGAACACUCGUGGCGAAGGCGGGUUCCUGGACAUUAACUGAUGCUGAGGCACGAAGGCCAGGGGAGCGAAAGGGAUUAGAUACCCGAGUAGUC